RNAcentral lists this ribosomal RNA (2787 nucleotides) under Escherichia coli. RNAcentral describes it as "bacterial LSU rRNA". It matches the Rfam family "Bacterial large subunit ribosomal RNA". RNAcentral also lists the same sequence under 1 other name. Lineage: Bacteria; Pseudomonadati; Pseudomonadota; Gammaproteobacteria; Enterobacterales; Enterobacteriaceae. The record is from RNAcentral.
AGCGUACACGGUGGAUGCCCUGGCAGUCAGAGGCGAUGAAGGACGUGCUAAUCUGCGAUAAGCGUCGGUAAGGUGAUAUGAACCGUUAUAACCGGCGAUUUCCGAAUGGGGAAACCCAGUGUGAUUCGUCACACUAUCAUUAACUGAAUCCAUAGGUUAAUGAGGCGAACCGGGGGAACUGAAACAUCUAAGUACCCCGAGGAAAAGAAAUCAACCGAGAUUCCCCCAGUAGCGGCGAGCGAACGGGGAGCAGCCCAGAGCCUGAAUCAGUGUGUGUGUUAGUGGAAGCGUCUGGAAAGGCGCGCGAUACAGGGUGACAGCCCCGUACACAAAAAUGCACAUGCUGUGAGCUCGAUGAGUAGGGCGGGACACGUGGUAUCCUGUCUGAAUAUGGGGGGACCAUCCUCCAAGGCUAAAUACUCCUGACUGACCGAUAGUGAACCAGUACCGUGAGGGAAAGGCGAAAAGAACCCCGGCGAGGGGAGUGAAAAAGAACCUGAAACCGUGUACGUACAAGCAGUGGGAGCACGCUUAGGCGUGUGACUGCGUACCUUUUGUAUAAUGGGUCAGCGACUUAUAUUCUGUAGCAAGGUUAACCGAAUAGGGGAGCCGAAGGGAAACCGAGUCUUAACUGGGCGUUAAGUUGCAGGGUAUAGACCCGAAACCCGGUGAUCUAGCCAUGGGCAGGUUGAAGGUUGGGUAACACUAACUGGAGGACCGAACCGACUAAUGUUGAAAAAUUAGCGGAUGACUUGUGGCUGGGGGUGAAAGGCCAAUCAAACCGGGAGAUAGCUGGUUCUCCCCGAAAGCUAUUUAGGUAGCGCCUCGUGAAUUCAUCUCCGGGGGUAGAGCACUGUUUCGGCAAGGGGGUCAUCCCGACUUACCAACCCGAUGCAAACUACGAAUACCGGAGAAUGUUAUCACGGGAGACACACGGCGGGUGCUAACGUCCGUCGUGAAGAGGGAAACAACCCAGACCGCCAGCUAAGGUCCCAAAGUCAUGGUUAAGUGGGAAACGAUGUGGGAAGGCCCAGACAGCCAGGAUGUUGGCUUAGAAGCAGCCAUCAUUUAAAGAAAGCGUAAUAGCUCACUGGUCGAGUCGGCCUGCGCGGAAGAUGUAACGGGGCUAAACCAUGCACCGAAGCUGCGGCAGCGACGCUGAUGCGUUGUUGGGUAGGGGAGCGUUCUGUAAGCCUGCGAAGGUGUGCUGUGAGGCAUGCUGGAGGUAUCAGAAGUGCGAAUGCUGACAUAAGUAACGAUAAAGCGGGUGAAAAGCCCGCUCGCCGGAAGACCAAGGGUUCCUGUCCAACGUUAAUCGGGGCAGGGUGAGUCGACCCCUAAGGCGAGGCCGAAAGGCGUAGUCGAUGGGAAACAGGUUAAUAUUCCUGUACUUGGUGUUACUGCGAAGGGGGGACGGAGAAGGCUAUGUUGGCCGGGCGACGGUUGUCCCGGUUUAAGCGUGUAGGCUGGUUUUCCAGGCAAAUCCGGAAAAUCAAGGCUGAGGCGUGAUGACGAGGCACUACGGUGCUGAAGCAACAAAUGCCCUGCUUCCAGGAAAAGCCUCUAAGCAUCAGGUAACAUCAAAUCGUACCCCAAACCGACACAGGUGGUCAGGUAGAGAAUACCAAGGCGCUUGAGAGAACUCGGGUGAAGGAACUAGGCAAAAUGGUGCCGUAACUUCGGGAGAAGGCACGCUGAUAUGUAGGUGAAGUCCCUCGCGGAUGGAGCUGAAAUCAGUCGAAGAUACCAGCUGGCUGCAACUGUUUAUUAAAAACACAGCACUGUGCAAACACGAAAGUGGACGUAUACGGUGUGACGCCUGCCCGGUGCCGGAAGGUUAAUUGAUGGGGUUAGCGCAAGCGAAGCUCUUGAUCGAAGCCCCGGUAAACGGCGGCCGUAACUAUAACGGUCCUAAGGUAGCGAAAUUCCUUGUCGGGUAAGUUCCGACCUGCACGAAUGGCGUAAUGAUGGCCAGGCUGUCUCCACCCGAGACUCAGUGAAAUUGAACUCGCUGUGAAGAUGCAGUGUACCCGCGGCAAGACGGAAAGACCCCGUGAACCUUUACUAUAGCUUGACACUGAACAUUGAGCCUUGAUGUGUAGGAUAGGUGGGAGGCUUUGAAGUGUGGACGCCAGUCUGCAUGGAGCCGACCUUGAAAUACCACCCUUUAAUGUUUGAUGUUCUAACGUGGACCCGUAAUCCGGGUUGCGGACAGUGUCUGGUGGGUAGUUUGACUGGGGCGGUCUCCUCCUAAAGAGUAACGGAGGAGCACGAAGGUUGGCUAAUCCUGGUCGGACAUCAGGAGGUUAGUGCAAUGGCAUAAGCCAGCUUGACUGCGAGCGUGACGGCGCGAGCAGGUGCGAAAGCAGGUCAUAGUGAUCCGGUGGUUCUGAAUGGAAGGGCCAUCGCUCAACGGAUAAAAGGUACUCCGGGGAUAACAGGCUGAUACCGCCCAAGAGUUCAUAUCGACGGCGGUGUUUGGCACCUCGAUGUCGGCUCAUCACAUCCUGGGGCUGAAGUAGGUCCCAAGGGUAUGGCUGUUCGCCAUUUAAAGUGGUACGCGAGCUGGGUUUAGAACGUCGUGAGACAGUUCGGUCCCUAUCUGCCGUGGGCGCUGGAGAACUGAGGGGGGCUGCUCCUAGUACGAGAGGACCGGAGUGGACGCAUCACUGGUGUUCGGGUUGUCAUGCCAAUGGCACUGCCCGGUAGCUAAAUGCGGAAGAGAUAAGUGCUGAAAGCAUCUAAGCACGAAACUUGCCCCGAGAUGAGUUCUCCCUGACUCCUUGA